This 1122-nucleotide long non-coding RNA is filed under the name Camponotus floridanus (Florida carpenter ant). RNAcentral's name for it is "uncharacterized LOC105256209, transcript variant X1". Lineage: Eukaryota; Metazoa; Arthropoda; Insecta; Hymenoptera; Formicidae. The record is from RNAcentral.
ACGAGCCACUGGCUUUCCUCCUCCGAUGAGGGCAUCACUGCCAGAAACCAUCUGGCGAAACGGAUAAUAAGAUAAUAAAUACGCAAUAGAGGCGGGCAUAUCUCGUCAAUUAUAUUCUCUGACGCAUUGCCAGUGUCUUACGACGCGAUGCAAUCGCAGCGUAGUCUAUAAUGGUACAUAGGUCGUCUCUUGAUAUGUCACACUGCACAUUAUUAACGCAGAUAAGAUAACAUGAAUUCCGAGCCGAGAGAUAAAGGCGGGAAUCGGUUGCGAAAAUAUUGACAUUUUUGAGAGACAAAGCCGGAAGCUGAAUGGAAGGCAGAAUCGGAAGCGAGAACGACUUACGAGAAUAAACUAGGCUUUUUUUUCGAUAGAGAAAUCAAGGAUAAGAUUCGUUGUAAUAUUGAACGAUGAUUUUUCUAUCUCUCUCUAUCUCUCUCGUGUUACUACGCAGCACAUUUGCGCAUUUUACGAUGAGUAGACCGAUCUCACUUACCGUUGACCUUAGUUAAAAUAACCGGAGAGUCACUUUCGCGUGCACUUAUAUUUCGCAGCGGUAAUUCAGCGUUUAUGAGCCCGCAUUGAAGCACGCGGAGGUCGCGCGUUUUACCAAGGCUGAUUAACUCCCGGAAUUAAUGCAAGACCAGGGAACAACUUUCCAUACACAGUACAUAUGUGCAUAUAGGAAAAAUUCUACGAUAAUUUAGAAAGGGGUUGCAAAAAAACAGUAAACAAAGCUCGCAAAUUUGCGCGAGAACUAAUAGCAGACAGUUCUAACGCAAGAUAUAUCGUAAAUCGCCUCCGUCAGCUUCAUCUCAUCCUGAAAAGGUGCAAUUUUACGUCAACAGUUUCCGACCAUUAAAAACAGGAAGAACCUACGUCAUCAAGUUACAAAAAAAGGAAGCGUUAAAAUUAUAUUCCUCAGCCCUGCGACGAUAGAACAUUAAUCUUCCCGAACAAGCAGUGCACGGACAUUAACAGUGGAUACGAUUUGAUUUCCGCGACAUUUUCAUGACAUAUACGUAUUAUCACAUUUUUCGCACCGGAAUGAAGAAAAUCAGUUGGAUGGAUCGAUUAAUUUUGGUGGAUCAUGAGAUCGAGAGAUUGACGGAAAGCCAAUCA